GCGGGUGUAGUUCAAUGGUAGAAUGACAGCUUCCCAAGCUGUAAACGCGGGUUCGAUUCCCGUCACCCGCU
Molecule: transfer RNA, 71 nt
Filed under: Kutzneria kofuensis
Lineage: Bacteria; Bacillati; Actinomycetota; Actinomycetes; Pseudonocardiales; Pseudonocardiaceae
Also listed under: 8 other names
Rfam family: tRNA
About the family: Transfer RNA (tRNA) molecules are approximately 80 nucleotides in length. Their secondary structure includes four short double-helical elements and three loops (D, anti-codon, and T loops).
Source: Rfam by way of RNAcentral